This 110-nucleotide transfer RNA is filed under the name Simkania sp. Its description in RNAcentral is "tRNA-OTHER". It matches the Rfam family "tRNA". From Rfam's summary of the family: Transfer RNA (tRNA) molecules are approximately 80 nucleotides in length. Their secondary structure includes four short double-helical elements and three loops (D, anti-codon, and T loops). Lineage: Bacteria; Pseudomonadati; Chlamydiota; Chlamydiia; Parachlamydiales; Simkaniaceae. The record is from RNAcentral.
UGCGGCGUAGCUCAGUUGGACAGAGCACCUUGUUAACGACAUACAAAUUGGGGUGACAACCAAUUGUAUGGGCAUGGAGGACGCAGGUUCAAGUCCUGCCGCCGCACCCA